AUUGAACGCUGGCGGCAUGCCUUACACAUGCAAGUCGAACGGCAUCGCGGGAAAGCUUGCUUUCCUGGCGGCGAGUGGCGAACGGGUGAGUAACACAUCGGAACGUACCGGCUAGUGGGGGAUAACCCGUCGAAAGACGGGCUAAUACCGCCUACGCUCUUCGGAGGAAAGCAGGGGACCUUUGGGCCUUGCGCUAGUCGAGCGGCCGAUGUCCGAUUAGCUAGUUGGUGGGGUAAAGGCCUACCAAGGCGACGAUCGGUAGCGGGUCUGAGAGGACGAUCCGCCACACUGGGACUGAGACACGGCCCAGACUCCUACGGGAGGCAGCAGUGGGGAAUCUUGGACAAUGGGGGCAACCCUGAUCCAGCAAUGCCGCGUGGGUGAAGAAGGCCUUCGGGUUGUAAAGCCCUUUCGGCAGGGAAGAAAUCGGCGGGGCGAAUAACCCUGCUGGAUGACGGUACCUGCAGAAGAAGCACCGGCUAACUACGUG
This 490-nucleotide ribosomal RNA is filed under the name uncultured bacterium. Its description in RNAcentral is "partial 16S ribosomal RNA". It matches the Rfam family "Bacterial small subunit ribosomal RNA", at positions 29 to 507 of the family's 1533-position model. The record is from RNAcentral.